Non-coding RNA from Vicugna pacos (alpaca), 1568 nucleotides. The record is from RefSeq and is a predicted model, not a curated record. Lineage: Eukaryota; Metazoa; Chordata; Mammalia; Artiodactyla; Camelidae.
GCAGAGGCCUGGGCAGCCCCUGCCUGCUGGGGCACUGGGAGGAGCCGGCCCAGGGGUUUGGGUCUGACGCAGCAGCAGAGGGAACCCUAGGGGGCUCUUGGGUGACCUAAUCCUUGAGGGUGGUGGGCAGGAUGGGGCUCCCGGGAGGGCUGGCUGUGGGGGUGCAGAGUCCAAGCCACGAGAUGGAGUUCCUAGUUCCUCUGUCUUCAUACUUGAGCCCAGGCCCAGCUGCCACCCAAGCGGCCCCCGGGGAGCCUUGACACUGAGAUAGGCCGAGAAGCUGGGCGGUGUUGGCACCAGGCCUGAGGCCUGCGGGUGCCAGGGGAGCUGACCCCCUCCUGGGAGCUGCCCCCGGGAGGGGCAGCGCAGCCCCGCCUGCCGGGCUUUAGAGCAGCUGGGAACAUUCUGCCCACACGGCCCGGGCCACGGCGCCUUCCCAAUCUGAGCCCCCGAACAGCCUGGUCGGGGGACUGGCCCAGCUUGGGAGGGGUAGUCAGGCCAUGGCCCCAGUGGUCAGAGACAGGGAAAUAGCGCUGGAACCUCUCCUCUCAAAUACAGUGAAGCCCCUUCCCAGGGAGGCCGCCCCAGGGUGCCACAGUGGGGCUCUGGGUCUGAGACCUCGGGUGCCCACACUCAGGGACAUGCCCGUGAAAUAAGGCAGGCACGUCGUGCUCCCUGGAUGGGCCGCCUGUUUUCUGCAGCACAUCCAAGAGGCAGUUUGGCCACAGACGUGUAUGAAAAAAAGACCACGUGAGGACGCGGUGAGAAGGCAGCCACGUGCAGGUCAAGGGCAGCUGCCUCCGGAGAAUCCACCCCACUGACACCUGGAUCUCGGGCCUCUGGCCUCCAGAACCGUGAGAAACCACAUGUCCGUUGUGUGAGCCACUGCCUGUGCUAUCUUAUUGCUGGCAGCCCUGGCAAACGAACACACCUGCCAACAAAACCCGUUUCUAGAGGACGGUUGCUGCAGACGGAGGUUUCCAAGGACAUAAUCACACCCGCCCCCUCCUGGGCCUGGCCACAGGGUCUCUACGUUCAGAGGAUCCGAGGAUAAACACCGAGCAGUUGCCCUUUAUUUUCAUUUAAUUGCCAUAGUAAUCUGUUUUAGAGAUGACAAAAUCCUCAGACAUUAGCUUGCCCGGGGUCACCCAGGUUGUAGUGGGAAGCAGGGUUCAAACUCCCUUCUGACUCCAGGUGCCACCUCCUUCUCCCGGGCUCAGAUAGCUGACGCGGGUGCAGGGGAGGCCAGGGGACGGGGCUGGGACAGCCCGCCCGCCUGGUGCAGAGAACGGUGAGAAGACUGGUCCGUCCGUCCCACUGAGUCCCGCAGUGGUGGUGAGGCUUCUUCCAUAACCCAGCCGGAAAAAACGCACUUCUUCCGUAAAACUCUCCAACAUACUCCACGAGGCAGGACGUCUCAUCACAUCACACACCACCCUUGUGCCGGAAGCUCUCCUUAACGAGUUUACCUGAUGGACCAAGGGAGCUUGUUCGUAGUACAUUCCGGUCUUUGCCAAGUGACUCCUAACCACACUGUUAUUUUUUCAAAAUACAUUUUAUUAGCGGCA